AGGUGUCCUCCCAGCUCUGGUUGAGGUUGAGGGCCGAGAGAGGAACAGGGAACUGAGAAGUAGGGGCUUUCUCUGUGCCCUUGGAAAACUUCCUAAGCUUUCUGGGCCUUGACUUCCCCAUCUGUGCUACAGUGACGUAUUGUCCCUUUCUGGGAGUGGCUGGGGGGUUAGGGGCACAAUGCACGUAGAAGCCUGGCAUUCCUCUCCUUCCCCUCCCCAGCCCAGCUGGGCAGUGAGCUGAGCUUCUCAGGCUGUGAUCUGGCCAGAGGACUCUGACGUGGCAGUUGUGAUCCACGGAGGCCGCUGCUGACAGAAGGCACCUGCCUUUUGUCCAUCCUUCAUUCCUCCACCCUCUGGCCACGAUGCACCCAGUCCUCCAGGCAGCUCUGCUUCCAGCCAGGCCCAGUCCUCAGUGCUGACCUGCAGCAGGGACACGGAGGGAAGAAGCAGCGACCUGCCUGGGGGUCUGCAGGGAUCCCCAGGGCUUCUGGGGAGGAGGUGUGGGGAGCAACUGUGAAGACCGGCACUGUGAGCAUGGAUAAUCCAGGAGUGCUCACAGCCUCGUGUGUGCUGGGAAGGCCAGCAGGACGUGGAAACCCUGGGCUCUUCAGAAGAUGCCCCAGAGUUGAGCCCAGCACAGCCCUCCAAUUGUCCAUCCUCCUGGUGCUGAGACCAGGAUCUUUGUCACCCUUCACACCAGCUCAGCCUGGCACCAGCCUGCAGACUGUGCUCCCCGGGGGAGCCGGAAUCCCCUCCCUGUGCUCUUGGAACAAUGGGAAUUAGCCCGGUGUCCCCAGGGUCUCUUCACUCCACUUAUCUCCAUUUCACUCUUCCUGUCUCCAGCAACCCGAGGGGCAAGUCUACUAUUAUGCCUUUUUGCAGAGGAACAAACUGGCUCAGAAAGGCUGGCUUACUUACCCGAGGGUGCACAGCUCAUCAUGGAGGAGCUGGGAUUAGAAUCCUCAAUAUCCCCCCCACACACACACAUUACAAUCCCUCCACGUACAUGUGUGUCUUCCCAGGUCGACACUAUGCAGAAAUACAUCAUGUGAACCAUAUUUAUAUUUUUAAAUUUUUCAGCGGCCACCUUAAAAAGUAAUAAAA
Talpa occidentalis (Iberian mole) is the source of this 1104-nucleotide long non-coding RNA. RefSeq lists it as uncharacterized. NCBI's taxonomy places the organism in Eukaryota, Metazoa, Chordata, Mammalia, Eulipotyphla, Talpidae. The transcript has 3 exons. The record is from RefSeq and is a predicted model, not a curated record.